UACAUAGGGGGCAAGCGUUAUCCGGAAUUAUUGGGCGUAAAGGGUGCGUAGGCGGCUAGUUAAGUUCAUGGUCUAAAUUUAAGGCUCAACCUUAAAAUGCUUUGAAAACUGGCUAGCUUGAGAGAGGUAGAGGCAAGUGGAAUUCCAUGUGUAGCGGUAAAAUGCGUAAAUAUAUGGAGGAACACCAGUGGCGAAGGCGGCUUGCUGGGCCUUAUCUGACGCUGAUGCACGAAAGCGUGGGGAGCAAACAGG
RNAcentral lists this ribosomal RNA (252 nucleotides) under uncultured bacterium. Its description in RNAcentral is "partial 16S ribosomal RNA". It matches the Rfam family "Bacterial small subunit ribosomal RNA", at positions 524 to 776 of the family's 1533-position model. The record is from RNAcentral.